Molecule: ribosomal RNA, 92 nt
Filed under: Gammaproteobacteria bacterium SG8_31
Lineage: Bacteria; Pseudomonadati; Pseudomonadota; Gammaproteobacteria
Description: partial 16S ribosomal RNA
Rfam family: Bacterial small subunit ribosomal RNA
Source: RNAcentral
UUGAACUGAAGAGUUUGAUCCUGGCUCAGAUUGAACGCUGGCGGCAUGCCUAACACAUGCAAGUCGAACGGCAGCGCGGGGAGCUUGCUCCC